Molecule: long non-coding RNA, 573 nt
Organism: Morone saxatilis (striped sea-bass)
Lineage: Eukaryota; Metazoa; Chordata; Actinopteri; Moronidae
Exons: 3
Source: RefSeq, a predicted model, not a curated record
UGGUGUGGAGGGAUGUCAUUUACGCCCCCUCGCACCAGAGAGGUUUUUAUGGCCUCUGCAAUGCACCUGUUGCUGUUGGUGACACUCAAUGGCAAACCCAGACCUCUGUAGUUUCAGCCCUACCUCUCCCAGAAAAAAAAGGCCAAGUAGCCCUGGGCUAAGUACUGCAGAGAUUGACAGCUACUAAAACCGUCUUAUUCCACACUGCUGAAAAUGAGGCUGCAGGCUGAGGACUCCACCAAUCCACCUGUCAAUCUCACGCUCCAUUAUACCAUCACUCGUGAACAAGAUCCCGGGAUACUUUCUUUGCUUGGGGCAGCAGCUUACUCCCAGGGAGCAAUCCACUGUUUUCCAGCAGAGAACCAUGGCCUCAGACCUUGGAGGUGCUGACUCUCACCCUGGCCAUUUCAGGCUCGGCUGCAAACUGCCCCAGUGCUUGCUGAAGACUACGGUCUGAUGAAGCCAACUGAACCACAUCAUCUGCAAAGAGCAGAGACACAAUUUCGGAAGUUACUCUCCUCACACCGGCACCUCGGCCUCUGCUUUGAUGUUGACCACAAUCUAUCUCUUGUG